This 98-nucleotide small nucleolar RNA is filed under the name Mus spretus (western wild mouse). Its description in RNAcentral is "predicted gene, 55482 (ENSMSPG00010006596.1)". It matches the Rfam family "Small nucleolar RNA SNORA13", at positions 36 to 134 of the family's 134-position model. Rfam says of the family: ACA13 is a member of the H/ACA class of snoRNA that guide the sites of modification of uridines to pseudouridines. Lineage: Eukaryota; Metazoa; Chordata; Mammalia; Rodentia; Muridae. The record is from RNAcentral.
UGAAUGUGGUGUCAAAAAGGGCAUAAAUAAAUGCUUUUUGGCCUUUCCUGUCCCUGGAGUUUGGUAUCUUGGGUGUAGGAGCUGCAAAAGUAACAGUA